GAUACAGGGUGACAGCCCCGUACACAAAAGCGCAUGUGCUGUGAGCUCGAUGAGUAGGGCGGGACACGUGGUAUCCUGUCUGAAUAUGGGGGGACCAUCCUCCAAGGCUAAAUACUCCUGACUGACCGAUAGUGAACCAGUACCGUGAGGGAAAGGCGAAAAGAACCCCGGCGAGGGGAGUGAAAAAGAACCUGAAACCGUGUACGUACAAGCAGUGGGAGCACCCUUUGGGUGUGACUGCGUACCUUUUGUAUAAUGGGUCAGCGACUUAUAUUCUGUAGCAAGGUUAACCGAAUAGGGGAGCCGGAGGGAAACCGAGUCUUAACCGGGCGUUAAGUUGCAGGGUAUAGACCCGAAACCCGGUGAUCUAGCCAUGGGCAGGUUGAAGGUUGGGUAACACUAACUGGAGGACCGAACCGACUAAUGUUGAAAAAUUAGCGGAUGACCUGUGGCUGGGGGUGAAAGGCCAAUCAAACCGGGAGAUAGCUGGUUCUCCCCGAAAGCUAUUUAGGUAGCGCCUCGUGAAUUCAUCUCCGGGGGUAGAGCACUGU
This 551-nucleotide ribosomal RNA is filed under the name Salmonella enterica subsp. enterica serovar Enteritidis. RNAcentral describes it as "bacterial LSU rRNA". It matches the Rfam family "Bacterial large subunit ribosomal RNA", at positions 354 to 913 of the family's 2925-position model. The record is from RNAcentral. Lineage: Bacteria; Pseudomonadati; Pseudomonadota; Gammaproteobacteria; Enterobacterales; Enterobacteriaceae.